Molecule: small RNA, 107 nt
Filed under: Marmota monax (woodchuck)
Lineage: Eukaryota; Metazoa; Chordata; Mammalia; Rodentia; Sciuridae
Source: RNAcentral
GCUGGGCAUGGUAGAGCAUGCCUGUAAUCCCAGCUAUUCAGGAGACUGAGGCAGGAGGAUCAAAAAUUGGAGGCCAGCCUGGGCAAGUUGGUGAGACCCUGUCUAAA